Schistocerca serialis cubense is the source of this 3706-nucleotide long non-coding RNA. RefSeq lists it as uncharacterized. Lineage: Eukaryota; Metazoa; Arthropoda; Insecta; Orthoptera; Acrididae. The record is from RefSeq and is a predicted model, not a curated record. The transcript is spliced from 2 exons.
AAAUCCCAAAUUUAAUUCAGCAGAAAUUCUGUAUCCUGACAACAAUAGUUGUGCACUGAUGGAGAGACUUGCACAGGAUUGACUAUAUGCAAUGCUGCAUCAAACCGGACUUCAGACUGAUAACUGCAACACCAACAACAUGCACCAUUAAAAAGAACAAAAUUUGCCUCUUUUUGACAGUGAAAAUACUAGGUAGCUAAAAUGCUCAAAACAGAAACCUGUGAUAUUUGAGUCCCAAGUCCUUCAAAUCCUGAGUGCAUAAUCAUAUGCAGUGUGCAUAAUACUGAUACAAAUUGAUUUUUGUGCUUCAGAUGUGAUAAAAACCAUCAAAUUACUGCGUGUUCAACAGCAACCCAAGUCCAUAAAAAUAUCGUAGUACAAACAGUUACAUACCUUUAGUGAGUCAAAGCUAUUGCCAUUGGUAAAAAUUGCUGCCAACAUGAAUACCAUUCUUGUUCAAACUGAAAUUGUUUAUCAUUGACAACAUUUUGUUGUUACAGGUGUUUAUAAAUUCUAUUGUAUAUCACCUACUCAAUCAGCAAGUAUAAGUAUACUUGAGAAAGAGGAAAGAUUUAGUACGUAAUGUAUUACAAAACUCAUGUGAGUUUGAUUAUUUGAUUAUUAGUUUCAUCCUAAUUACCAUUUUGAAAAUAGGUGAUAAUAAUAUAUUUUUAAUAAAUGUAAGUUGUAGAUGAAUUUCAUAGAACUUGAUUUGAAAAAUUCUUCUUAGUGGGCCACCCAGCAAGAAAUAUUUAAAAAUUAAAUUAUCUCUAUCUCAUGACACAAACAAUUAUUAAAAGUAUUUUAAUUUUGAACAACACAUCUUAUCAUCUUGUAGUGUCUGCUAUGAAGUUGGCAUCAACUGGUGAUGUUAUUGCGUUCAGUGGUGAAGUAUCGUGUGUAUGUGGUCUGCAUUAACAAGACAGACAUAGCUGUCAAACGGCUUCCACACCAACCAUGAGAGGCACUGUGUUUCAUAUUUUUAUGUAUAAAUGUUUUAUAUUCUUCUGUAUUGUUUAUUAUUUGACAUGUGAAUUUUUAUAUGAAUUUGUUUUUCCAUCUAUUUACAUUUUUCCAGUCUCUCAGGAAUACAGUGUCUAUGACCGUUCCUCUUCCUGAGUUAUACACAUGUUCAGAAAGUUUCAUUUGUGAGUUAAAUGCUCUGAUUCAUAUUCAGCUUAGAUAGUAAAUGCUUAUUCAGUCUGUUCAGCAAACAAUGUAACCAAAAUAAAAAAACUUGUUCUGUGAAACCUCGUGACUUAGUUUGUUCACACCAAGCAAAGGUCAGUUAAUUCAAAUCGUGCUAAUUUUGACAAGUGGUGACCUCUUUGUGAUUUGGGCUUAAGAAAAAGGUUGAGCAACUAUUACAAAAUUUAAAUAUUAUGCAAGAUAUAGAUGCACCAACAGUGUCUAGACUAGUGGUCCAUUUACCUCUGUUCUGGCCAAACAGCCCAAUCUUGUAGUCUGCUCAAGUCAAACCAGUUUAGCUAUGCAGGAAUUAUGGCUGACUCAACAAAAUUUGACCUCAUUACAAGCCAACUUGACUAUUGCUACAUUGCAGGGGUACAGGAUGUGAUCACUGUGCCAUUGCAUGAAAAAUUCUGAAUUAAUCAACAUAGCAGCUGCAUUGCACAAAGAAUGGGUCAGAGAGGUACCAAUAAAAGGAGACAUUGAUGAUAAACUGUCACAAUAUUUGCAUCAUUCGUGGGGUAAAGUCAAUACAGUUAUGAUCCCUGACAAUUUGCUACACACCCUGUGAUGUAGUCAAUUACCUCCACAAGCCAAAGCGAUUUUAAUGUCUCAGAUGGAAACAUCAUCGGAUGUGGUGGCAGAGCUAGCAGAUCAGAUUCAAGAGGUUGUCACACCCACUCAGGUUAGUGCAGUGACAUUGCCACGCAGAAGUGCCACUGUGGCACCAACAGUGGUGCGCAUGGAAUCCGACUCACUGACAGCCUGGUGCCUGUUUGUUAGUGAUAGCAGAAGUAUUUAGUAGACACUGGCUCAGACUUAAGUGUCCUACCAAGAACUUCAGUCCACCACUGUAGAACACUGACUGCAUUCUGUUUAUCUGCUGCAAACAACUCAUCCAUAUCUACAUACAGAACAACAACAUAGCAGAUAGAGUUAAAUUUGGUACAGCACAAUCCAUUGGCAUGGGACUUUACCAUUGCCAACAUUAUGAAGCUGAUAAUAGGACCCGAUCUUCUGGAAAAUCUCCAUUUCGUACCAGAUGUUGACAAUGUUACUGGACUGACUACAGUGGGUUUUCACCAUGACACAUCAAUGCAUAGUGCCUAGCUAAUACAGGUGUUUGAUGAGAAGUCCGUGGUACACUGCACUGUUGGGGCAGUAUCCUACCUUUACCAGGCCAUCAGGCACACAUACACACAUAGAACACAACAUGGUGCACCAUAUAGAAACCACAAAUGGCUCACUAGUGUCUUGCAGACCCAAGAGAUUGGUACCCGAUUUUUUGGCCAUCGCUAAAGCAGAAUUCGAUGCGAUGCUUAAGAAAGGCAUAAUCUGUCCAUCAAGUAGAAAUAUUUAAGCUACACAUUGAUCUGAAGAAAGUAGGAGCCUAUUGCCUGUGCAGUGACUGUCGUGCACUCGACGCGAGAACUGUGCCAGUUUGAUAUCCCGUGCCUUUGUUGUGUGACUGUAAUUAUGCAUUGCGUGACACAACUGUUUUCAGUGUUUUGGACUGUGCCAAGGCAUAUACACAUAUACCUGUGGCAGAAGACGGCAUCCCCAAGACAGCAACAAUCAUUCCAUUCGGACUCUUUGAGAGCAAAUUUGUGACGUUUGGGCGACAGAACACUGCGCAAACCUGGCAGAAGUUUAUUGACUCCAAUCUAUGAAGACUGCCACUUUGCUUCAGAUACAUGGUGAUGUGCUUCUGUUUUCUGCCACCAGGGAGCAACAUCACCAUCAUCUACAAGAAAUAUUUAAGCGUUUUGAGCAAUUUAGCAUGGUACUAAUGUGGCCAAGUGUGUGUUUGGACAGCAUGAUAUGAUGUUUCUAGGUCACUGCAUUUCAUUUACAGGCUCCUUACCACUAAUUGAGAAGAUCAAAGUAAUUUUACAGGUACCACAACUGAUGAUGGUCAAGGAGUUGCGUGAGUUUUUAGGUUCGAGUUGGCAUUCCAGUGCAGUGGACUGAAACAAUGUGCUCCACUUUCAAGAUGGCAAGAAAUAGCAUAGUAAAUGCAAAACUGCUGCAAACCCUAACUGGAUGAAUCUUUGGUAUUAAUGGUAGAUGCGAGUCAAAUUCCUUUUGUGUGGUCCAGUGGUCAGAAGAUUCAUGGCAACUGCUUGCAUAUUUCUCCUGCAAAUUGUCGCCAUCUCAGAAUAAGUGGAGUGUGAACUCCUGGCAGUGUAUGUGGCUGUUACAUAAUUCCAUCCACAAAUAGAAGCAAGGACAUUCACAAUACUGUUACAGAAGAAGCUGAGUAACACAGUCACUGUGGCACAGUGGUUAUGAUACUAGACUGUUGCAUGGAGGGUCGUGAGUUCAAAACUCACCUGAACUGUAAAACUUUAAUUUCUAUAUUUGGUUCAAGUACAUUCUAGAAGUAUCCACAAAUGUCAAGAAUCAUUGUACCGGAAUGUUCUGUAGCUGUAUAUAUACACUGUAUGUGUUCUGGCUGGAGGCAGUUCGCUCUGUGCUCUUGUAUGUGCAAGUGCUGAAUAAACCUUUGUUAAGUGAA